UACGUAGGGGGCAAGCGUUGUCCGGAUUUAUUGGGCGUAAAGAGCGUGUAGGCGGCCCGACAGGUCCGUUGUGAAAACUCGAGGCUCAACCUCGAGAUGUCGGCGGAAACUGUCUGGCUAGAGUCCGGAAGAGGAGAGUGGAAUUCCUGGUGUAGCGGUGAAAUGCGCAGAUAUCAGGAAGAACACCUAUGGCGAAGGCAGCUCUCUGGGACGGUACUGACGCUGAGACGCGAAAGCGUGGGGAGCGAACAGG
Molecule: ribosomal RNA, 253 nt
Filed under: uncultured bacterium
Lineage: Bacteria
Description: partial 16S ribosomal RNA
Rfam family: Bacterial small subunit ribosomal RNA
Source: RNAcentral